CCUACGGGGGGCUGCAGUGAGGAAUAUUGGUCAAUGGGCUUACGCCUGAACCAGCCAAGUCGCGUGAGGGAAGACUGCCCUAUGGGUUGUAAACCUCUUUUGUCAGGGAGCAACGCCGGCUACGUGUAGCCGGACUGAGAGUACCUGAAGAAAAAGCAUCGGCAAACUCCGUGCCAGCAGCCGCGGUAAUACGGAGGAUGCGAGCGUUAUCCGGAUUUAUUGGGUUUAAAGGGUGCGUAGGCGGAAUGCCAAGUCAGCGGUAAAAUCGCGGGGCUCAACCUCGCUCCGCCGUUGAAACUGGCGUUCUUGAGUGGGCGAGAAGUAUGCGGAAUUCGUGGUGUAGCGGUGAAAUGCAUAGAUAUCACGCAGAACUCCGAUUGCGAAGGCAGCAAUCCGGCGCCCAACUGACGCUGAAGCACGAAAGCGUGGGUAGCGAACAGGAUUAGAUACCCCUGUAGUC
Molecule: ribosomal RNA, 460 nt
Filed under: uncultured bacterium
Lineage: Bacteria
Description: partial 16S ribosomal RNA
Rfam family: Bacterial small subunit ribosomal RNA
Source: RNAcentral